GAUGAACGCUGGCGGCGUGCUUAACACAUGCAAGUCGAACGGUGAAGGUGGGAGCUUGCUCCUGCUGGAUCAGUGGCGAACGGGUGAGUAACACGUGAGUAACCUGCCCCGGACUCUGGGAUAAGCGUUGGAAACGACGUCUAAUACCGGAUACGAGACGAGAAGGCAUCUUCAUCGUCUGGAAAGAUUUUUUGGUCUGGGAUGGACUCGCGGCCUAUCAGGUUGUUGGUGAGGUAAUGGCUCAACAAGCCUACGACGGGUAGCCGGCCUGAGAGGGUGACCGGCCACACUGGGACUGAGACACGGCCCAGACUCCUACGGGAGGCAGCAGUGGGGAAUAUUGCACAAUGGGCGAAAGCCUGAUGCAGCAACGCCGCGUGAGGGACGACGGCCUUCGGGUUGUGAACCUCUUUUAGUAGGGAAGAAGCGAAAGUGACGGUACCUGCAGAAAAAGCACCGGCUAACUACGUGCCAGCCGCCGCGGUAA
Molecule: ribosomal RNA, 487 nt
Filed under: uncultured bacterium
Lineage: Bacteria
Description: partial 16S ribosomal RNA
Rfam family: Bacterial small subunit ribosomal RNA
Source: RNAcentral